CGCACAUUACAAUUCAGUUCAAGAGAAGUCCGAGUCUGAUGUCAGAAGAUGUAACCAAAGAAAAUAAACAAAAUGACAAUAAUACAUAAAUAACAACAGACUACUAGCAGUUAACUGACAUGGCAGCUCCAGACUUCAAUUAAACUGACUGAAAGAUUAUGAUUUCAUCAUAUGAACAUCAGGCACAAUCCUUCCCGUUAGGGGUUUAGUAUCAUACCAUCAUAACAUAUAUGAGAAGAACAUAACCCGUGUCACGCCAAC
RNAcentral lists this long non-coding RNA (261 nucleotides) under Mytilus galloprovincialis (Mediterranean mussel). Lineage: Eukaryota; Metazoa; Mollusca; Bivalvia; Mytilida; Mytilidae. The record is from RNAcentral.